This 891-nucleotide long non-coding RNA is filed under the name Jatropha curcas. RNAcentral's name for it is "long non-coding RNA (JCUR_LNC003096)". The record is from RNAcentral. Lineage: Eukaryota; Viridiplantae; Streptophyta; Magnoliopsida; Malpighiales; Euphorbiaceae.
UAUAAAAACCUUCCACCACCACGCGGCCGCCAUCGACGCUGCGCCACCACUGAUUAGUUGUUUUCAAUUUUCCAUAACUUCCAUAGCCACCGCUUUAAUCUCAUUUCCUUCCAAGGUAAAUUGCUCUGAGUUUCAUUAAUAACAAAUUAUUGAUUCUUAAUUAGUAGAGUUAAAUUAAUUAAGAAGAUUCAGGAAUUUUGAGUUUGUAUAGCUUUAUUCUCUUCUGCUACGUAUCAAUUUAUUCUUACUGUUUCAGGGGCAAAAAAAAAAAAAAAAGAAAAAACAACGAGCAGAGAGUAUAUUCAAGAGAAUUAUAUUAUGGCAUCCUUGAUCUCAAGCCUCGAAUCAAAUUCAGACACGUCGCAAGAAUUCAAGCAAAGGAAGAAGCGAAGAAAACUCACUCACGAAACGCAGAAUCAAAGCCAAAACGGGGAGACGAACAAUCGAAACAUCAGCAAAACUAGGUGGAAAACUCAAGCAGAACAGCAGAUCUAUUCCUCCAAGCUUCUAGAAGCUCUUCGGCGAUCUCGACGGACCUCCUCAAUUUCUUCCAGAGGCAGAGAAAUUCGCGAAACUGCUGAUAAAGUCCUUGCGGGGGCUGCAAAAGGCAAGACGCGGUGGAGUCGUGCGAUUCUGGCGGGAAGGCUUAGGUUGAGGAAAGUUAAAAAGGUUAGGAAAGUGAAGGUAACAGGAGAGAGACGGUUGAGGAAGAAGGAGGUUGCUAGAGAGAACAAGAGAUUACCUAUUUUGGAGGAUAGACUGCGAGUUUUGAGCCGUCUGGUUCCCGGUUGUCGAAAGACAUCGUUUACCAGUCUUUUAGAGGAAGCUACUGAUUACAUCGCGGCUUUGGAGAUGCAGGUCAAAGCUAUGACAACUCUCACAGAGAUUCUC